This 2255-nucleotide small RNA is filed under the name Pyricularia oryzae. RNAcentral describes it as "Magnaporthe oryzae sRNA M_BR32_EuGene_00146921". The record is from RNAcentral. Lineage: Eukaryota; Fungi; Ascomycota; Sordariomycetes; Magnaporthales; Pyriculariaceae.
AUAAAUUUGGAACACCUAAAAUUUAAAAAUUAAUAUUUUUGGUCGAAUAAGAAUAUUUCCGAUAUUUUUUCUUGUUGUAAUUUAUUUUUCUUUUAUUAAUUCAUUAAUAAAGGUUUUUUUAUAUUAUUUCUAUUAAUUAUAAUUAUUAUUAUAAUCUUUGCUGGUUUUUAUUUUGGUUUGGCAUUUUUUAAUUUAUAAUUAUUAUUAUAAUUUCCAAAUUAGUUAGUUAACUUUUGUUUAAUUACACAUAUUUAUAUUUUUCAAUCCAAACGAUUAAUUUUAGAAACCGGGUUAUUUACUUAUAAAUUUUAUACUGGUAAACUAUUAUUUAUUUACUGGUAGUUUAUAUAUAACAUUUCUGGUAUUAAUACAGCUAAAAUAUUUCAGUUUUAAGUGGACAUUGUUUUAUUUUCUUUAUUUAAUAUAGUUGUAUAAAUGUUUAAAGAACCGUUGUAAGCUUUCCCAUUUUCAACGUCAAAUAUUGCUACGAUUUAAUGUAAAUAUACGCUAUUAUUAUACCGCCGGCGGUUAUUAUUUCAACCCAAUUGCAAUUUUACGCAAUAUUAAUAAUAGUUGCCGUAAAUAAAUCCAGUUCCAAAUUCGUGGAUAUUAUAUUUAUUACGAUUUAUUUAAUUUUUCAAAUCCGCGAGACCAAAUAACUAGACGAAGUUAGUAACGCAGGAAAAAUAUUUAACCGGUAAUAUAUAAACAAAAUUACUAAUAAUAAUUUCGAUUUGAGUAAAGAUUUCCAAGAAGUAUUUAUUUAUAUAAAGAUUAUUGUAACAUUUUUUAUUUAUUAUAUUUAUGUUUAACGCUUAUAUUAAUUGAGAAACUGUUAAAAAACUAGUAUGUUCAAAGGUAAUAAUACCUAAUAAAUUAAGCGGUCGGUAUUAUAUUUCACAGUUAAUAUAUUUAUAACAAAUAAUUAGAAACAAAAUUUAACAUUUCUGUUAACAUAUAUUUGUAACGCACCGUAUAUUUCGUUUUAUGUUUGGAAAUUACCGGCGUAUAAGUACUAUAAUACCAAUCCUUAAUAAUAUUAAAUAUAUAAUUAGUUUUAAUAUAUUUAUAUAUAGUAAACCUUUUUAUUUUUUUUCCAACUCAAAAAUAUAAAUUAGGAAAGUAUAUUAUCUGUUAUUUAUAUUUGGAAUUCUCAUUUUAUUUUUAUUAUUUGAAAUCUCAAAUAUAAUUUUAAACUUUCCCUGUUAAAAUUCGAAUCGAUAAAUUAAAAAUAAUGGUUAAUGCAUUUUUGUAUUUUGAAAUUAAUUAUUGUUUUAAUUAUUCCAAAUGUUAUAUUUUCGCUUAUUUUUCAUAAUACGGAUACUUUUAUUAUAUACCGCGCUACACAUUCCUAAUUAAUAUUAUUAAACUGUAUAAUUAAUUAUUUCCGCGAACAAACUUUUUUAUAAUAUUAUUAUUAUAAAAUUCCAAUUUGGUAUACGUUUUGAAAAUAUAAUAAACUAUAUAAAGAUUAGUUUAAAAGAUAUUUUGAUUUUCUUUAAUAGACGAAAAUAUAAAUAAUACCGGUUUCGUUUUAUUUACAAACGAUCUGGACGCAAACAAAACGAAUUAAAGGCGUAAAUAUUAAUAUUUCCAAAUAUAAAAUUUAACCUAUUUUUGCAAUUUCUAAUAAUAAAUAAUUUUUUCAAUUUACAAUUUACGCCGAAAAUAAUAUUUGGAAUAUCGGUUUAAGCAAAUUGGGGAAAUUGCUAGUUUUGAAAAAUAUUAAUUAUAAAUACAAAUAUUACGAAACCUGCCAAAAUAUUAAAAAAUGGUUUUCGGGAAAUAAAAUUCGUUUUAAAUUGGUAAUUGUAAUCGUUUUUAUUUAAUAUAACGGCGACGGACUUUUUAAUUGGAUAUAUAUUAAAAUAUAUAUAGGGUUAAAAACGUUAGAUUUAUUAGGUAAAACCAAAAUUAUAUAUUUUAUAUUACAUUAAUUACCGUUCACUACCAAAAUCGCGGAAAUGCAUAUAAAAAACAAAUUUAACAGGUUUUGGUUAUAAUUCCAAAUUUGUAAAUUCAUAUAUGCACUUUUUUUAUUAUAAUAAUCAUUACACUUUCUUUUUAUACCAUUGUAAUAAUUAUUAUAAUUUUUUAUUUUUUGUAUAAUAAUUAUUGCAUUUGCUAAUAUAAUUCUUAAUCUUUAUAUUUUAAUUGUGGCUGGUUUAAAAAAGGUUAAUCCCGGCGCUAUUAUUAUUAAAGUUGGUUUGUUUUCAACCACAGGUAAUGAAGUAAUAAUUAAUUUUACGAAAUUA